AUUGAACGCUGGCGGAAUGCUUUACACAUGCAAGUCGAGCGGCAGCGCGGCCUUCGGGCUGGCGGCGAGCGGCGAACGGGUGAGUAAUGCAUCGGAACAUGCCCAGUCGUGGGGGAUAACACUUCGAAAGAAGUGCUAAUACCGCAUACGUCCUGAGGGGGAAAGCGGGGGAUCGCAAGACCUCGCGCGAUUGGAGUGGCCGAUGUCAGAUUAGUUAGUUGGUGGGGUAAAGGCCUACCAAGGCGACGAUCUGUAGCUGGUCUGAGAGGAUGAUCAGCCACACUGGGACUGAGACACGGCCCAGACUCCUACGGGAGGCAGCAGUGGGGAAUUUUGGACAAUGGGGGCAACCCUGAUCCAGCCAUUCCGCGUGAGUGAAGAAGGCCUUCGGGUUGUAAAGCUCUUUCGGCAGGAACGAAACGGUGGGCUCUAACAUAGUCCGCUAAUGACGGUACCUGAAGAAGAAGCACCGGCUAACUACGUG
RNAcentral lists this ribosomal RNA (484 nucleotides) under uncultured bacterium. RNAcentral describes it as "partial 16S ribosomal RNA". It matches the Rfam family "Bacterial small subunit ribosomal RNA", at positions 30 to 507 of the family's 1533-position model. The record is from RNAcentral.